CAUGCAAGUCGAACGAAACUUAGUGAACCUCGGUUUGCUAAGUUCAGUGGCGCACGGGUGCGUAACGCGUGGGAAUCUACCCCUAGCUGCGGAAUAACUCAGAGAAAUUUGAGCUAAUACCGCAUAAUGUCGCAAGACCAAAGAUUUAUCGGCAAGGGAUGAGCCCGCGUAAGAUUAGCUUGUUGGUGAGGUAAAAGCUCACCAAGGCGACGAUCUUUAGCUGGUCUGAGAGGAUGAUCAGCCACACUGGGACUGAGACACGGCCCAGACUCCUACGGGAGGCAGCAGUGGGGAAUAUUGGACAAUGGGCGCAAGCCUGAUCCAGCAAUGCCGCGUGAGUGAUGAAGGCCCUAGGGUUGUAAAGCUCUUUUACUAGGGAUGAUAAUGACAGUACCUAGAGAAUAAGCUCCGGCUAACUCCGUGCCAGCAGCCGCGGUAAUACGGAGGGAGCUAGCGUUGUUCGGAAUUACUGGGCGUAAAGCGCGCGUAGGCGGCUCGUCAAGUCAGGGGUGAAAGCCCGGGGCUCAACCCCGGAACUGCCUUUGAAACUAGCGAGCUAGAAUCUUGUAGAGGUUAGCGGAAUUCCGAGUGUAGAGGUGA
RNAcentral lists this ribosomal RNA (600 nucleotides) under uncultured Alphaproteobacteria bacterium. RNAcentral's name for it is "bacterial SSU rRNA". It matches the Rfam family "Bacterial small subunit ribosomal RNA", at positions 54 to 684 of the family's 1533-position model. Lineage: Bacteria; Pseudomonadati; Pseudomonadota; Alphaproteobacteria. The record is from RNAcentral.